GUCAACAACGCAUCGAGCCCCACACCCUCGUCCUCCCCUUCUCCUUCGCAGGCACGUCUCCUCCUCCCCUUUGGCUCCCUGAUCCCCUUUCUUCUUGUGCAGGCCGCCUACUCCCCUCCUCGGCUGGAGCAAGGUGCCGCCGUCCCUCCAUCCUCGCGACGCCACCUCCUUCCUCCGCUGCCGGCAGAGGCGACCGGCUAGGGUUCAGUUGCCGCCGCCAAAACGGAAGCCGUGCUGCCCGGCGAGUGGCCCGGCGCCCCAGCAAGUUCUCCUUCUCCAGCUAUCUUCUCAUCCCCGUUCCUCUCUCCAUCCCUGCUCGUCCCCUCCUCCUUGACCGCCUCUCUUCUCCUCUGAAGGAGCACGAGGUCUGCUGCUGCUCCUGAGCCGCCACAAGGACGUCAGGUGGAGGAGAUCCCAUGCCGACGGGCCGCUCAUGCCGGUGUCCGAGCUCUUGGAUCCGUUGGAUUCACCGUUGCUGUACGGGGACGGGUCGGCAGGGGUGCUGGUGUUGGCAUCGGGAAGGGGAAGGCGUCGCCGAUGAGGAUGUGAAGGAGGACGAGGUCGAGCCGGGUCGGUGAAGGGUGCGGCCGUUGGCUCGCUUGCCAAGCGGCUGCCUCUCUCCUCCUCGUCUUUGACGCCAUGAAGAAGAUCAAUGUUGAGAAGGAUGCAAGCUACAGGAGCAGCAGACGCGUCGUGUGAGCCUUGGGUGAUUGAUGCGUUUGUGCGUGCAUUGGUCAGCUGCGUGCAUCAGGUUCAUCUCGUGUAUCAGGAAGACAACAGUAAGGAGAUGAGAGCUAUUAUCUCAACAAUAGAAGUUCAGGAAGAAAAGGUCCGGUGCAUUAAGGAACAGCGAUAAUGGUUUUGGUGUCCUGUUAGAUGAGUUCUUGCGGGCACACCAGAUCAAUUUUUUGUCAAUGUUUUGAAAUAAUGCUGAUUCUUUUCAAGAAGAUGACAUGUCUCAUCAGAGGAACGGUGUUGUAGUGCUCAUCACUCACUCAAGAAAGGACAAACAUAAAUUCCUCGUAGCAAGGUCAGCGUAUUGUGAUGUUAGCAUGCCCCCUGAAGGACUGCAGGAGUGCUUGCCACACUUAAUACCAACUUUGGUGUCAAACAUGGUCUACACUGAGGAUGAUGAAUUGCUUGUUGAUGCUGAGGUUUGAAGAAGGGCCAGGUUCAAAGUUUUAGGGCAACCCGUCGCUUUAGGGAGACGGCGGUCCCUUUGAUGGCCUCCAGGCUCGGCUCAAUGAUUGGGAUCGGUCAUCGGUGGUGGCGUCGAAGGUGGUAUGGAGUCUAAACCAUGGAAGAGACCGUACACUCAGAAGGCAAAGUUGGGAAGCUCCUACAAUGAAGUAUCUGUGAUGAGGGAGCUAGCCUGAAAGUGGAUCUACCGCGUGCUGCUCCUGUUCCCUCUCCCUCAAUUCAUCCUCAUGGAUCUGACAAGGUUUACAAGGAAUGCCCAGCUCAAAAGACAUAGGCGUACCGAGCCUGGCUGGCCAUUCGGGCCGAACACGCGUUACCGCUAAUGACGAUGACCAUGGUAUUUGGUCGAUCACAGCUGGUUGCGGUCCGAAUGAGGGAGCUCCUAACCAGCGCGUUCAGUGCCGAUUUCGCGGUCUGGCGCUCGAAGCACACGUUACUGGGCCGGCCCAGGUGAGCUUCGACCGAAAACCACGACGCAAAAAAUUUUUGCGAAAGUUGGGUUUCGAUCUCAAGAUCACACUUCUUUUUGUCUGACGCGAGAACGACUAGACCAAACACGUUCUGUUGUUCUAUAGCUAGGAAAAAGUGCUACUUAACCGUUAUUCAGUGAAAACAUUAACGUAAAAUCUGAAAAUUAUUUGAAAAGUUCAUUGAUUCUGAAAAAAAAGUUCAUCGAUUUUGAAAACUAGUUCACCAUUUUUUUAAAAGUUCACAAAAUUUUAAAAAGUUUCAUCGAUUUUGAAAAAAAGUUCAUCGAUUUUGAAAAAAGUUCAUCGAUUUGGAAAAAAACUUUAUGGAAUUUGGGAAAAAAAUGUUCAUUGAAUUUGGAAAAAGUUCGUCGAAUGUGGAAAAACUUCAUCGAAUUUGGAAAAAAAAUCAUCGAAUUUGAAAAAUAGUUCAUUGAAUUUGAAAAAAGUUCAUCGAUUUUAUAAAAGUUCAUCAAAAUUGAAAAAAAAGUUCACGAAUUUGAUAAAAAGUUCAUUGAAUUUGAAAAAAGAUCAUUGAAUUUGACAAAAGUUCAUCGAAUUUGAAAAUAAGUACAUCGAUUUUGAUAAAAGUUCAUUGAAUUGAAAAAAGUUAGUCGAAAUUGAAAAAAACUUCACGAAUUUGAUAAAAAGUUAGCGCAUUUAAGGAAAGAAAAAAAUGAAAGGAAAUGAGAAAAGAAACAUGAAAAAGGAAAAAGAAAAAAAUCACCCAGAAACUGACCAGCGAACGACCUAGAUAAGAAUAAAAAUAAAAGAAAGAAGUUUGUGGGCAUAGGCGCAUUGUUAUCCUGGUGGUGAGUGCGCUGCACUUUCAAUUAAGCGAUCCAGUGUUGGAUCCCUCGCUAGCGCACGAAAGUUCGUUAGUUAUCGGGGUCCAAUAACUAUAGACGAGUACGUAAAUCGGUGGCAAUCCCAUCAAGCCAGCUAGGGGACAGUGAGCCAAUUAACCUAACUUAAUGAACUAACUUACUAAUUACUCGUUCUUACAUGUGUGGAUUAGCAGUGGCUUGGUACUAUACCUAGCAUGGCAUUGUGUCAUGCUACCUCUGCUCCUAAAUUUAAAAUGUUUUUGUAGUUGAACUGCAAAAACGUCUUAUACGCCCCCCAUAUACCUAGCUAGCCUACCGAAACGUCAUAUAUUUGGGUAUGGAGGAGUAUUUAAGAGCAGAUGCAAUACUACGUAAUCAUGCUUAAUCCUAACUCCUAAGAUGACUGGUCUAUAACAUAGCAUUGCUUCAUAAUCAUGUUUACAAAUCUGAAAUAAAACAGGUUUGGUGCUUGAAAGUUGUUUACUGGAUCCGUAUGUUCGGGGCCUGGGAAUUCAUCUCCUCCCUUGAGCUUCGCAGUUGGUGAAAGAAUGGAACAGCCCACGAGUACGCUGCUGGUAUUCCUGUUUAAAUUAGCGACCGUGGCUCUGAACCGGAUGCACAUCUCUGAACCGUAGUCUGUAAUUAGCGACCGUGGGUAUGAUGAUCCAGUCCAAGAGAACAUAUUCCUCAUGAUUUAUGUACGUGGUGCUAAGUGCUAACUCAUCCGUGGAUGGUGACGACUCCAGAUACCAACUUCCCCUGGCUACUAGCAUGCAGAGCAGCAGCAGCAGGGUCAAGUCCAAAUACAUCGGUUUCAGUCUUGUUGCUACCGUCCGUAUGUAUUUUUGUUGCAAUGCGAGGACAGCGACGACACAGGUAGGAUGCUCCGUUGGACGGGCAUGCAUGCAUCCUGGGGUCUUGGCAGGACAAGACAUGCUACUGCCUCUAAUGUGCCACCAUCUCAAGCUUAGUUCGGUUACAUGUAAGAAAAUUACAUCGUCAAUAUCCAGCUACUAUUGGGGGAUGUCCAGAGAAGAGGAAAAUGCAUUGGUUAAAUUGGCCGGACAUGACUCGCUCCAAACUGCAUGGUGGUAUGGGCUUUCGUGAUAUCCCUACAUUCAGUCUAGCUGUUAAAUUGUGAUCCAAAUUAUACCAUGUUGACUAGACGUAGUACAACCGGUGUGGGCCUUUGCGUUGACGUCAACGCGCGUACGAGUACAACUCGUUUACUUGUCCUCCAAGGACUCUCAUGUAUUGCCGUCUUAUAUACCCAUGUAGUCGCACCUCAGACGGUCUGUCGUCUCGUGCUUGUAAUACUCCUUCAUUAUAGUGAUUGCGGCUUCGUGCGUCCGUGAUUUUUCUCCCGCAAGGGUUUCCACGUAAAAAUCCAUGUCUCUCUGUCUCGUUUAUUUCUCGUUAUUAUCUAGCAAGUGGUAUACAGAGCCAAGUUUACAGAUACGAGAUUCAAAGACGAGGGGAUUAGGGUUUCUGUUCGCGCCGCUUGCACGCGACGUGGCGAUCUGUCAAUCCGAAGGUAGAUUGAUUCUGUGCGCGGCCGUACACGAUCAUCAGAUCGUUUCACCGAGUCCAACAGGCGGUCCAAUCCGUGCGUGCUGCUUCUCGAUCGGCCCGUGGAGCUACAGCGGCGUCACAUCUACAAGUACUACUUCUCCUCCCGCUCCAGGUCAUCACACCAGGAAGGAACUAGUACUACUACCGUGAAGGGCAGUACUAAUUGAUUGG
Long non-coding RNA from Triticum aestivum (bread wheat), 4237 nucleotides. RefSeq lists it as uncharacterized. The transcript is spliced from 8 exons. NCBI's taxonomy places the organism in Eukaryota, Viridiplantae, Streptophyta, Magnoliopsida, Poales, Poaceae. The record is from RefSeq and is a predicted model, not a curated record.